Molecule: ribosomal RNA, 164 nt
Filed under: Dendrobium christyanum
Lineage: Eukaryota; Viridiplantae; Streptophyta; Magnoliopsida; Asparagales; Orchidaceae
Description: 5.8S ribosomal RNA
Rfam family: 5.8S ribosomal RNA
About the family: 5.8S ribosomal RNA (5.8S rRNA) is a component of the large subunit of the eukaryotic ribosome. It is transcribed by RNA polymerase I as part of the 45S precursor that also contains 18S and 28S rRNA.
Source: RNAcentral
GACACGACUCUCGGCAAUGGAUAUCUCGGCUCUCGCAUCGAUGAAGAGCGCAGCGAAAUGCGAUACGUGGUGCGAAUUGCAGAAUCCCGCGAACCAUCGAGUCUUUGAACGCAAGUUGCGCCCGAGGCCAACCGGCCAAGGGCACGUCUGCCUGGGCGUCAAUC